RNAcentral lists this ribosomal RNA (252 nucleotides) under uncultured bacterium. RNAcentral describes it as "partial 16S ribosomal RNA". It matches the Rfam family "Bacterial small subunit ribosomal RNA", at positions 525 to 776 of the family's 1533-position model. The record is from RNAcentral.
ACGAAGGGGGCUAGCGUUGUUCGGAAUUACUGGGCGUAAAGCGCGCGUAGGCGGGUCAUUAAGUCAGUGGUGAAAUCCCGGGGCUCAACCUCGGAAUUGCCUCUGAUACUGGUGACCUCGAGUCCGUGAGAGGUGAGUGGAACUCCGAGUGUAGAGGUGAAAUUCGUAGAUAUUCGGAAGAACACCAGUGGCGAAGGCGGCUCACUGGCACGGUACUGACGCUGAGGUGCGAAAGCGUGGGGAGCAAACAGG